GUCUUAUUCAUAAUAAAAUGCUAAUAUAGGUUUAAAACCUACAUUAGCUAAAACGUUUGAUAGGCUUAAAACACUCUUAUAAACCUCUGAUAAAAAACGUUAUUCAUAAUCGUUUACAAACCUUUGAUAGCUAAAACAGAGUUUAAUAUUUUCUUUCCACAGACUAUACAAAAAGAAUGAACGAAAACAGCUUUUUUGGUGAUUUAACUUGAUGGACCAUGUAAAAUCAUAGACAAAUCGCAGAAAAAAAAAACAAAAAAUUGGCAGCUGUGACGUUUUACUUACUGACAUUGACAUUUGGCACGAAAAUUUAAUAAAGUUUUCGGUUUUUUCGAUCAACUCCCAAGUUUUAUCAAACUUUUAUAAAACUUGGGAUUGUAUGUUCUGGAUUCUGUACCUCUUACCCUGUACUCUGCAAUAAGCUCUUACGACGACCCGGCUAGUUACAUCGGAUACUAAUUAUGUCCAUGACGAAGGAGAACAGACCGCCUAAAAGGCAACGAUCAGAAAACUGGUUGGAGGAAGAUAAGUGUUUGCUUUUCAGUAUUUGCUGAAAGAGUUGGUGAAAGAAAGAGUAAAUGCAAUCGAAAAUAAAAAUACAGACACUAACACGAAUAAACGGAAGGUUGCGGCUUGGGCUGAUUUACAAACAACGUUUAAUUCAAUGUGCGCUGGUAUGAACCGCUCCAUUACCCAGUUAAAAUCGCAAUGGAGCCUCAUAAAAAUCAGUGCGAAGAAAGACAAGACCAUUGCUAGGCAGGCUCAAAUUAAAACUGGCGGUGGUCCACCAUUAUCAGUGCCUGACGAUAGGGCUGAUGAUAUAGCAUCUUGGUUGCCCAAUGAAUUUGUAGUCGAUGUUAACAGAUUUGACUCGGACUCAAAUAAAAGUGAAUUAAUUAACAUUCAAGAGGAGGAAUCAACUCAAAAUACGCAAGAUCAGGAAUUGAUAAAUAAUGAAGAAAUCCAAUAUGAAUUGGUGGUACUUGAUGAAGAAAUAGAAGAUACACAUGCUUGUACUACUAGAGGCAUAUUGGAAGAUAAAGAAAAUAAAAAAGUAGAGGCAAAAGAAAAUAAAGCAAAACCUAAUUUUAAAGCACCAGCAAUCAAAAAAAAAAGGAAACUGUUAAACAAAGAAGGCUUAAUUGAUUUAAGCAAAGUUAGGAUUUCCGAAAUUGCAGAAACAGAAUCAAAAUGCCGGAUUGAACUGCAUGAAGUUCAAAUGGAAAACGAACGGAAGAAAGGGAGAAACUUGGAUCUUGAGCAUCAAUUAUUACAGGAAAAACUUAAAUAUUACACUCACAUUAAUAAAGAAUAAUAAGUCUUUUGAUGUUAAAGUUUUUCAAGUACUAACAGAUUCUAAAUAAUAAGUUAGUUCCUCCCUUACUUCUGUUUGUUUUUAAUUUGUAUUUUAUGCAGUUCCAAUCCGCAUUUUGAUUGUGUUUCUGCAAUAUAUUUAGACGGCUAUGAAUAUGUUUACUAGUCAUAACUUAAUAAGAGUUUGAGAUUACUAUUAACUAGCUGUUGCCCACGACUCCGCCUGCGUAGACUACUAUUUCUGUAACCUACAGGAUCUGUGCAUUUUUCCAGGAUAAAAAGAAGCCUAUAUGUUAUUCGAGACUAUAUAAUCUAUCUGUUUUAGCAAUUUAUUUGUUUAUAAGAAUUGAACUGUGAUUUUUAGUAAGUAAGUUUAAUAAUUGUACUUAAAUUAGUGAUAUAAAGUAAAUACACAUAUGCCUAGUCACAAACAUUCGCCUUUAUAAUAAUAGUGUAAAUUAUGGUUAUUUUGUUUUAAAUGUAGAAGGUUGAUAACCUCCGAAUAGAAACGUUUAUACUUAAGCAAUUUCUU
Molecule: long non-coding RNA, 1846 nt
Organism: Ostrinia nubilalis (European corn borer)
Lineage: Eukaryota; Metazoa; Arthropoda; Insecta; Lepidoptera; Crambidae
Exons: 3
Source: RefSeq, a predicted model, not a curated record